AUGACAUCGGUGGGCACUAACCAAGCCCAGGAAAACUGGGAACAACCUCAAAACCAAAAUCAGACACAGCACAAGCAGCAACCACAGGCCACUGCAGAACAGAUUCAGCCUCCACAGAUGAUUUCAGACCACAAUGACACUGACUUUGAGGAGAAAGUGAAACAAUUGAUUGAUAUCACAGACAAGAACCAGGAUGAGUGUACGAUUGCUUUGCAUGACUGCAAUGGAGAUGUCAACAGAGCAGUCAAUGUUCUUCUGGAAGGAAACCCAGACACUCAUCCUUGGGAGAUGGUCAGGAGGAAGAAAGGGGUCUCAAGACAGAAGGAUGGUGGUCAGGCGGCACCCAGUGAGGAGGGCAAAGAAAAUCGAGACUGGGACAGAGAUGAUAGUCGACGACGUGGUGGGCCACCAAGACGGGGGAGAGGUGCCAGCCGAGGACGAGAGUUCUGGCGUCAGGAAAAUGGAGUGGAUGGCACCAAGAGUGAAGGGCCUUCUGGAAAAGGCACAGAAAGAGGCCAAAGAGGCCAUGGCCGAGGCAGAGGAUGCUCUGGUAGGCGAGGAGGAAGGUUUUCUGCUCAAGGAAUGGGAACUUUUAACCCAGCUGAUUAUGCAAAGCCAGCCAAUACCGGUGCUAACUAUGGCAAGACAUGGAAGAAUACUGGUCACUUUGAACCAGAUGAUGGGACAAGUGCACAGAAGGCUGCAACAGAAGAGUGGGGGACUGAAGAUUGGAAUGAAGAUCUUUCUGAGACCAGGAUCUUCUCUGCCUCUAAGGUGUCUUCAGUGCCUCUGCCUGCAGAGAAUGUGACCGUCACUGCUGGUCAGAGAACUUACCUUGCUGUUCUCCUGGGGAAGACCUCAUCUUCAAUGGAGAAUGAUUCAUCUAAUAUGGAUCCAGCUCAGGCUCUUUCCCUGGCUCAACCUCUGGUAUUCAGUAACUCGAAGCAGGCUGCCAUAUCACGGCCUGCUUCGGGGAGCAUGUUUUCCCAUCAUGGUAGAGUGAGCAUGUCGGGAAAGGGAUUUGGUGAUGUCAGUCUCAAGACUGCUCGGGCCCUGGCUCAGUUGGCAACUCAGCAUUCUCGGUCUGGAAGCUCCACCACCUCCUCUUGGGACACGGUCUCGAGGACACAGUCCCCAUCACUGGUGCACUGUGAUUUGAAGAACCCAAAUGAUUCAGCAGUGCACAGCCCCUUUACAAAAUGCCAGGCUUUCACCCCGUCUUCAACCAUGACGGAGGUGUUCCUUCAGGAGAAGCUUCCUGCAGUGGCUACCUCCACAGCUGCACCUCCACCCGCCUCUUUAACUCUGCCAAGCAAAUCCACCUCAGCUCCACAGAUGUCUUCUGGGUCCUCAGACAACCAGUCCUCCAGCCCUCAGCCUGGUGAGCAGAAACUGAAAAAGCAGAAGAAAAAAGCCUCUUUGACUUCUAAGAUUCCUGCUCUGGCUGUAGAGAUGCCUGGCUUAGCAGAUAUUUCAGGGCUAAAUCUGCAGUUUGGGGCAUUGCAGUUUAGGUCAGAGCCUGUCCUUUCUGAUUACAAGUCCCCCACCACCACGAGCGCCUCUUCAAGCCAGGCUCCAAGCAGCCUAUCUACCAGCACAGCCAGUGAAACUUCAUUUACGAUUUCAUCUAACCAGAGUCAGGAUUCUGGUUAUCAGAUUGGCCCAAUUCAGUCGACAAACUAUACCUCCCAAAACAAUGCUCAGGGCCCUCUAUAUGAACAGAGAUCCACACAGACUCGGCGGUACCCCAGCUCCAUCGCUUCAUCACCCCAAAAGGAUCUGACUCAGAGAGAGAAUGUCUUCAGUUCUAUGCAGGACACACAGUUACAGACUGUUGAAGGUGCUACAGGCUCUUCGGUGCAAUGUGACUCACCUUCCACGUCUAGGAUCUCCACACUCAAUGAAACGGUAUCUGCAGCUUCCCUACUGACAACCACCAAUCAGCACUCUUCCUCCAUGGGUGGCUUGAGCCACAGAGAGGAGAUUCCAAGUACUACCACCACACAAUACAGCAGUACGUUACCUACGCAGCAGAAUACCCUCUUGUCAUCAACAUCUUCUGGGCACAUGUCCACAUCCACUCUCCUGCAUACAAGUGUGGAGAGUGAAGCGACUCUCCAUUCUUCCUCUAGCACUUCCUCUACCACUUCCAGCACAGUCUCUGCACCUCCCCCAGUGGUCAGCAUCUCUUCCAGUCUCAACAGUGGCAGUAGUGUGGGUCUCAGCCUAGGCAGCAACUCUAUUGUCACGGCCUCAACUCGAAGCUCAGUUGCUACAACUUCAGAAAAAGCUCCUCCCAACAUCCCUCCUGGGGUCCCGCCAUUGUUACCUAACCCACAUAUUAUGGCUCCAGGGCUGUUACAUGCCCAUCCGCCACAAGUGUAUGGUUAUGAUGACUUGCAGAUGCUUCAGACAAGGUUUCCAUUGGAUUACUGCAGCAUCCCGUUUCCCACAUCCACCACUCCACUGACUGGGAAGGAUGGUAGCCUAGCCAGCAACCCUUAUUCCAGUGACCUCACAAAGUUUUGCCAUGGGGAUGCAUCCUCCCCAGCUCCAGCCACAACCUUGACCCAGCCCCAACAGAACCAGACACAGACUCAUCACACCAUGCAGCAGACAUUCCUGAACCCAGAGCUGCCUCCUAGAUACAGUUAUACCAGCCUGCCAUACUACACAGGGGUUCCUGGGCUCCCCAGCAUCUUCCAGUAUGGGCCUGCUGUGUUCCCUGUGGCUCCUACCUCUUCCAAGCAGCAUGAUGUGAAUGUCAGUGUGAAUGUAUCAGCCAGCCCUUUCCAACAGCCAAGUGGAUAUGGGUCUCAUGGAUACAACACUGGAAGAAAAUAUCCACCCCCUUCCAAGCAUUUCUAG
Octodon degus (degu) is the source of this 2868-nucleotide RNA transcript. It is a transcript of the gene named ubiquitin-associated protein 2-like pseudogene, with no coding region annotated. NCBI's taxonomy places the organism in Eukaryota, Metazoa, Chordata, Mammalia, Rodentia, Octodontidae. The transcript has a single exon. The record is from RefSeq and is a predicted model, not a curated record.